GGACAAUGGGCGCAAGCCUGAUCCAGCAAUGCCGCGUGCAGGAUGAAGGCCUUCGGGUUGUAAACUGCUUUUGUACGGAACGAAAAGCCCUGGGUUAAUACCCUGGGGUCAUGACGGUACCGUAAGAAUAAGCACCGGCUAACUACGUGCCAGCAGCCGCGGUAAUACGUAGGGUGCGAGCGUUAAUCGGAAUUACUGGGCGUAAAGCGUGCGCAGGCGGUUUUGUAAGACAGAGGUGAAAUCCCCGGGCUCAACCUGGGAACUGCCUUUGUGACUGCAAGGCUAGAGUACGGCAGAGGGGGAUGGAAUUCCGCGUGUAGCAGUGAAAUGCGUAGAUAUGCGGAGGAACACCGAUGGCGAAGGCAAUCCCCUGGGCCUGUACUGACGCUCAUGCACGAAAGCGUGGGGAGCAAACAGGAUUAGAUACCCUGGUAGUCCACGCCCUAAACGAUGUCAACUGGUUGUUGGGUCUUAACUGACUCAGUAACGAAGCUAACGCGUGAAGUUGACCGCCUGGGGAGUACGGCCG
This 529-nucleotide ribosomal RNA is filed under the name uncultured bacterium. RNAcentral's name for it is "bacterial SSU rRNA". It matches the Rfam family "Bacterial small subunit ribosomal RNA", at positions 366 to 888 of the family's 1533-position model. The record is from RNAcentral.